GAUGAACGCUGGCUACAGGCUUAACACAUGCAAGUCGAGGGGAAACGACGGGGAAGCUUGCUUCCCCGGGCGUCGACCGGCGCACGGGUGAGUAACGCGUAUCCAACCUGCCUCUGACUGAGGGAUAACCCGUCGAAAGUCGGCCUAAUACCUCAUGGCAUCGUCUGCGGGCAUCCAACGACGAUUAAAGAUUUCAUCGGUCAGGGAUGGGGAUGCGUCUGAUUAGCUUGUUGGCGGGGUAACGGCCCACCAAGGCUACGAUCAGUAGGGGUUCUGAGAGGAAGGUCCCCCACAUUGGAACUGAGACACGGUCCAAACUCCUACGGGAGGCAGCAGUGAGGAAUAGUGGUCAAUGGGCGGGAGCCUGAACCAGCCAAGUAGCGUGCAGGAUGACGGCCCUAUGGGUUGUAAACUGCUUUUAUGCGGGGAGAAAGUGAGGGACGUGUCCUUCAUUGCAGGUACCGCAUGAAUAAGGACCGGCUAAUUCCGUG
This 491-nucleotide ribosomal RNA is filed under the name uncultured bacterium. Its description in RNAcentral is "partial 16S ribosomal RNA". It matches the Rfam family "Bacterial small subunit ribosomal RNA", at positions 28 to 507 of the family's 1533-position model. The record is from RNAcentral.